GCCAGGCGUGGUGGCGUGCGCCUGUAAUCCCAGCUACUCGGGAGGCUGAGGCAGGAGAAUUGCUUGAACCCGGGAGGCGGAGGUUGCAGUGAGCCAAGAUUGUGCCACUGCUCUCCGACCUGGGUGACAGAGCAAGACUCCAUCUCAA
This 148-nucleotide non-coding RNA is filed under the name Homo sapiens (human). Lineage: Eukaryota; Metazoa; Chordata; Mammalia; Primates; Hominidae. The record is from Rfam by way of RNAcentral.